CACGUGGGUAACCUGCCUGUAAGACUGGGAUAACUCCGGGAAACCGGGGCUAAUACCGGAUGCUUGUUUGAACCGCAUGGUUCAAACAUAAAAGGUGGCUUCGGCUACCACUUACAGAUGGACCCGCGGCGCAUUAGCUAGUUGGUGAGGUAAUGGCUCACCAAGGCGACGAUGCGUAGCCGACCUGAGAGGGUGAUCGGCCACACUGGGACUGAGACACGGCCCAGACUCCUACGGGAGGCAGCAGUAGGGAAUCUUCCGCAAUGGACGAAAGUCUGACGGAGCAACGCCGCGUGAGUGAUGAAGGUUUUCGGAUCGUAAAGCUCUGUUGUUAGGGAAGAACAAGUACCGUUCGAAUAGGGCGGUACCUUGACGGUACCUAACCAGAAAGCCACGGCUAACUACGUGCCAGCAGCCGCGGUAAUACGUAGGUGGCAAGCGUUGUCCGGAAUUAUUGGGCGUAAAGGGCUCGCAGGCGGUUUCUUAAGUCUGAUGUGAAAGCCCCCGGCUCAACCGGGGAGGGUCAUUGGAAACUGGGGAACUUGAGUGCAGAAGAGGAGAGUGGAAUUCCACGUGUAGCGGUGAAAUGCGUAGAGAUGUGGAGGAACACCAGUGGCGAAGGCGACUCUCUGGUCUGUAACUGACGCUGAGGAGCGAAAGCGUGGGGAGCGAACAGGAUUAGAUACCCUGGUAGUCCACGCCGUAAACGAUGAGUGCUAAGUGUUAGGGGGUUUCCGCCCCUUAGUGCUGCAGCUAACGCAUUAAGCACUCCGCCUGGGGAGUACGGUCGCAAGACUGAAACUCAAAGGAAUUGACGGGGGCCCGCACAAGCGGUGGAGCAUGUGG
This 846-nucleotide ribosomal RNA is filed under the name Bacillus licheniformis. RNAcentral's name for it is "bacterial SSU rRNA". It matches the Rfam family "Bacterial small subunit ribosomal RNA", at positions 114 to 944 of the family's 1533-position model. The record is from RNAcentral. Lineage: Bacteria; Bacillati; Bacillota; Bacilli; Caryophanales; Bacillaceae.